CCUACGGGGUGCUGCAGUGGGGAAUAUUGGGCAAUGGGCGCAAGCCUGACCCAGCAACGCCGCGUGAAGGAAGAAGGCUUUCGGGUUGUAAACUUCUUUUCUCAGGGACGAAGCAAGUGACGGUACCUGAGGAAUAAGCCACGGCUAACUACGUGCCAGCAGCCGCGGUUAGACGUAGGUGGCAAGCGUUAUCCGGAUUUACUGGGUGUAAAGGGCGUGUAGGCGGGACUGCACGUCAGAUGUGAAACCCAGGGGCUCAACCUGUGGUCUGCAUUUGAAACUGUAGUUCUUGAGUACUGGAGAGGCAGACGGAAUGCCUGGUGUAGCGGUGAAAUGCGUAGAUAUUAGGAGGAACACCAGUGGCGAAGGCGGUCUGCUGGACAGCAACUGACGCUGAGGCGCGAAAGCGUGGGGAGCAAACAGGAUUAGAUACCCGAGUAGUC
RNAcentral lists this ribosomal RNA (443 nucleotides) under uncultured bacterium. RNAcentral's name for it is "partial 16S ribosomal RNA". It matches the Rfam family "Bacterial small subunit ribosomal RNA", at positions 338 to 795 of the family's 1533-position model. The record is from RNAcentral.